Solea solea (common sole) is the source of this 753-nucleotide long non-coding RNA. RefSeq lists it as uncharacterized. The record is from RefSeq and is a predicted model, not a curated record. NCBI's taxonomy places the organism in Eukaryota, Metazoa, Chordata, Actinopteri, Pleuronectiformes, Soleidae. The transcript has 6 exons.
AAAGUUUUGUAUAGCUUAUCAAGUAUCUGUAAAACCUUUCCUCACCCCUGCAGGCACCUUCAAGGGGAGAGCUGCAGACGCUUUUAUCCAAAGCGACUUACAAUGGAAUCAAGUAACCAGGGGUGGAAUCGAACCGGCGACCAUGAUGUCUUUCGUACACAAGACUCCCUUCACCGGGGUACUGCGAUCCAAAUGACAAACCACUAUGAUGCAGUGGAGCUGAACAGGCCACAAGAUCCAGAACAACUGGAGGAAACAACCGAGAUUGAGGUUGUCCUGUCAAAUAAAAUCAUGGAGCUCUCCUCCAUACUUCAUCUUAACACUCCAGUGGGCAACUUUUUCUUCCACUUUAACGUCGACAAAGUUUUGAAUUUUUCUUUUAAACUCUUCAAACAGAAUGGGAAUAAUCAGGAAGAGUUACCGGGGGACAGUAUAUAUCCUGACGAUCCAGAGAGAUUAAAAGUGAUUCAUAAUCCGUGGAUUAGGCAACAUAUGACUCAUUUCAGUAUAGAAAGUGGCAUGACAUAUCAACGCUGUAAUGCCAUAAUUUUUCAUAAUGGAACAAUUUUAAAAAAGUUUCCUCAAGUCAGGCCUCGGUAUAAACAGAACACACACAGGCCCAACAAACAUGCAGAGGAACAAAUUAUAGAGGACAUAGAUAAAUAUCUAGUAUCCCUGAAUCUUAAUGGCAUUUACAACUUAUAUAUUGUGAUUUACACAUACCAAAGCCCAUGUCUGAAGAGAGCCGAUAAC